RNAcentral lists this ribosomal RNA (309 nucleotides) under uncultured bacterium. RNAcentral describes it as "bacterial SSU rRNA". It matches the Rfam family "Bacterial small subunit ribosomal RNA", at positions 28 to 334 of the family's 1533-position model. The record is from RNAcentral.
GACGAACGCUGGCGGCGCGCCUAACACAUGCAAGUCGAACGAGCGAGAGAGAGCUUGCUUUCUCGAGCGAGUGGCGAACGGGUGAGUAACGCGUGGGUAACCUGCCUCAUACAGGGGGAUAACGGUUAGAAAUGACUGCUAAUACCGCAUAAGCGCACAGUGUUGCAUGGCACAGUGUGAAAAAUUCCGGUGGCAUGAGAUGGACCCGCGUCUGAUUAGCUAGUUGGUAAGGUAACGGCUUACCAAGGCAACGAUCAGUAGCCGACCUGAGAGGGUGACCGGCCACAUUGGGACUGAGACACGGCCCAA